RNAcentral lists this ribosomal RNA (497 nucleotides) under uncultured bacterium. RNAcentral's name for it is "partial 16S ribosomal RNA". It matches the Rfam family "Bacterial small subunit ribosomal RNA", at positions 28 to 507 of the family's 1533-position model. The record is from RNAcentral.
GAUGAACGCUGGCGGCGUGCCUAAUACAUGCAAGUCGAGCGAACAGACGAGGAGCUUGCUCCUCUGACGUUAGCGGCGGACGGGUGAGUAACACGUGGAUAACCUACCUAUAAGACUGGGAUAACUUCGGGAAACCGGAGCUAAUACCGGAUAAUAUAUUGAACCGCAUGGUUCAAUAGUGAAAGACGGUUUUGCUGUCACUUAUAGAUGGAUCCGCGCCGCAUUAGCUAGUUGGUAAGGUAACGGCUUACCAAGGCGACGAUGCGUAGCCGACCUGAGAGGGUGAUCGGCCACACUGGAACUGAGACACGGUCCAGACUCCUACGGGAGGCAGCAGUAGGGAAUCUUCCGCAAUGGGCGAAAGCCUGACGGAGCAACGCCGCGUGAGUGAUGAAGGUCUUCGGAUCGUAAAACUCUGUUAUUAGGGAAGAGCAAAUGUGUAAGUAACUAUGCACGUCUUGACGGUACCUAAUCAGAAAGCCACGGCUAACUACGAG